GAUUGGACGAUCGUUGUCACGUGAGUGUUGGACUUACGGUUGCCAGCCUACAUUCAGAAUCACUCCCCGCCAGAAGCUCCACCUUUUGCUGCAAUUUUUGGUUUGAACGCGCUCUUCUCGGCUAAAAAAAGGUUUUUGUUGAUUCCAUUCAGCUAUCACAGCCUGGAGCCAGUGAAGCUGACAUUGUUUCCCGGAUGGCGGCCUAUUUGCGUUCAGCGCCAGACAGGAAAGGUGGUGGUGGUCGCAAGACUGCUGCAGCUCAAAAUGUUUAAUGACUGCAAAAUCUAUAAAGUAUUUCACUUUAGUUCA
This is a long non-coding RNA of Cyprinodon tularosa, 309 nucleotides long. RefSeq lists it as uncharacterized. The transcript is spliced from 2 exons. The record is from RefSeq and is a predicted model, not a curated record. Lineage: Eukaryota; Metazoa; Chordata; Actinopteri; Cyprinodontiformes; Cyprinodontidae.